This is an RNA transcript of Lagenorhynchus albirostris (white-beaked dolphin), 6862 nucleotides long. It is a transcript of the gene named essential meiotic structure-specific endonuclease subunit 2, with no coding region annotated. The record is from RefSeq and is a predicted model, not a curated record. Lineage: Eukaryota; Metazoa; Chordata; Mammalia; Artiodactyla; Delphinidae. The transcript has 8 exons.
UGCGCCGUGUAGUCGGGCCGGACCCGCGUGAGGCGCCAGUAGCACGGCUCGUCGUGCUGCCACAGCCAGGACUUGCGCGUGACAAGGCGGCCCAGGCCGAAGAGCGGGAGGCGGCCAAGCAACUGCAGGAGGCGGCUCUCGCGGCGCACAUCGGCCCAGGCUCGCGCGGGCAGCUUGCGGCCCGAGUGCGGCCGCGUCAGCGUCUCGUAGUCCAGGGCGUAGCGCUCCGAAUCGCGCGGCCGCUCCCGCUGCUCGCGCAGGGCCCGCACGCGGCGGGCCAGCUCGGCGAUCAGCCGCGGCCCCACCUUCUUCCGCGCCAUGGCCGGGCAGCCUCCGCGCUCCGGCCGGAAGAUGCCACCGCGCGCCGCGGGGCGAGCCCGACGCCGGAAGCGGCGGGUGUCCCCCGCAAAGGCGUCCGGGCGCUGCCGGAAGGGGAGAAGAGGCCGGGCGGGCCGUGGCGAGGGCUGGGUCUGGGAGGGCUGGGGGCUUGCGCCGGGGCCGGGGAUAGCUGCAGCCCCCGACCUGGGAGAUACCGGACUCGGACAUCGAGGGCCCCGCGGGCGAGGAGGCCGCCGCCAGGGUCCGAGACCCGGCGGAAGAGCACAGGGCGGCGGCCGAGGUGGUGCGGAGGCUGCGGCCCGAGCAAGCCGUGCGGCGCCUGGCGCCAUUCUGGAAGAUGCCGGUGCCGACAUCCUGAUGGAGGCUCUGGACGCCCUGAGCUGUGAGUGCCGCGUGGAGCCCGAACGCCCUGCAUGGAGCCUCGGGUGGAGCAGAGUGAAGCCAGACCCUUGCUCCCUCAGUGUGCCUCCUGAGGUGUGGGCUGCGGAUGAGCAGGACCAGCUGCUGCUGCUGGAGCCUGAGGAGUUUCUGCAGGGCGUUGUCCAGCUGACCCAGACAUGUGGCCCAACCUGUUCUGUGCCCUGGAUCAGUCCUGAGAGCCCUGCCUGCCUCCACCUGGCUGUCAUUGGGCUGAUGUUUACCUGUGGCCCUGGUGCUUCUGCAGCUCUGGGCAAACGUGGAUGUGCUGUUGGUGGCCUCCUGGUAGGAGCUGAGUCAGCAUGUGUGUGCCUUCACCAAGGCCCUCACCCAGCGUCCCUUCAAGCACUUCCCUGCAUCCUCCCCUUCCCAGGCAGUCCCGGGAGUCUGGGGCCUUUUCCUUCUGCACCACCGCGUGCUGGGCAGCAGCCAAGAACAGUGGCAAGAGAUGGCACUGGCCUGCGGGGGGCCUGCUGGCAGCAGAUCAGGCAGUUCAACUGUGUCAGCCCGGCUGUGGCCAAUGCUGUUGUUGCUGCCUUCCCUUCCCCCUGCCUUCUGCAACAGCCUCAGACGAGAGGAACAGCAGCUGACAACAUGCAAAGCAAGUUAAGAAAAACCCAAGGCCGGCGGCGACAGCAGGAAGAGCCGACCUCUCACGAAGCCGUCCUCCUCACAGGCAGCAGACCAGCCUCCCAGGCCUGCAGCCUGAGUCCAGACAUGCUGGGGCAGCAGCUCCCCAGAGACUCUGAGAAGGAAAGUGGCUGCUCCCACACCCGGCACAGGAAGCAGACAGACUAGGAAGUCCGGGUCUCCGGAUCACAGGGAUAAUGGCCCCGGAGCCCCUGUAGCAAGGCCUCUCCCAGCCUCGGGUGGCAGGGGGGCAGCCGAGACAAACCUUGGUUCAGUCCUCCCUCUCCUGUUGCCCUGGGGGUGGUCCAAAGGGAGAAACAGAGAAAACGCCAUCCCAGCUGUAGAAGGCAGUUUUCACUGGGAAACAAGCUAGGUCCUUCGGCAGCGCUUCCUCUGGCAGCGCCGGGUCUCAGGGCUGCUGGGAUUGGCCAUGGGCGAGGGUGUGGGGGGCUUGCGGUGGCCGCAGCUCAUGCUCAGGACCCAGCCCAGCUUGUGGUGCAGCACCUGCUUGAGGCCGGGCGGCAGGGGCAGGCCCUCGAGCGUGUCCCCAGAGUCAGGCCGCAGCUGGCGCAGGCGGUAGCAGCACAGGUAUUGCAGGGAGGUGAUGCUGGCACAGGAGCGGAUCACCUUCAUGCUGCUCUUGGCCGCCGUGGAGCACACCAUUGGGUAGAACCUCUUGUUCUGCAGCUUGGUGGCUGCCACUCCUGGGGGUGGGGAGGUGGCACAGCCUGAACCCUAAGCUCAGGCUCUCCUAAGGGGACGAAGGAUGCUGGGAUUUCCACCUACCCCCCGGCCUUGCCCGGUUCUGGGGACCCUGAGACCUCAGGGAUGCAAGGAUGGCCUUGCAAGGAUGGCCUUUCAGGGCCCUCAACCUCACCAGGAGCUCAGUGGCAGCCACGCUCUGCGGGCAUGUGUCAGAGUCACCUCCUCACCUAUGCACUUCCUGUUCUUAAAAAAGGUCAGCGUCCCAUGCCAGGUGUCCAGGUGCACGCCAAUGAUGGAGCCCUGGCCGAACCGGGAGGAGAAGCUCAUCUUGUCGCCCUUGUGGUGGAGGAGGCCUGGGGGCAGCAGGGUCGGGGUGAGCCCUGCAGCCUCGGGGCCCCCCAACCCUGCCCACCCUGGGGGCCCCACGCACCCGUGUAGGAGAGGCCCCAGCUGUCCUCGUCCCGGCCGAGCAGGCUGCAGAAUGUGUGGUGGUACUUGUCCAGGUCCACGUCCGAUGUCCCGAUGCCCACCAUCUGGAAACGGCAGAACUGGCAGAGGGGGCUGGGGACCAAGGUGCCCGGCACCCCUCCCCCAACCCUGCCGGCCACUUACCAUGUCAGUGCCAUAGACGGGCGAGGUCAUCUUGAUCUCCCAGAAGUGCUGGCCCUCCCCCAGCUCCUUUGUACCCCGGAUGGCCGCUGUGCCACAGCUGUAUUCCAUGUGGAAGUUGACCUUCCGGUUGUCACAGCUCAGCAGGGUGGCCGAGGACUUAUUCAGGUCAUCCCAGACCCAGUCAAAAUCUGUGAGAGAAGAGGCCCAGGCUCGCCAGGCUCCCCCCCAGCCCAGAGGUCCGCCCACCCGCCGCAGGCCCCCACACUCACACUCGUCCUCCUCCCCGCAGCGGCAGUCCCUGCCCCGGUGGGCGGCGUGCAGACUGCCGCAGAAGGCCUCACUCUGACUGUCACAGUCGCAGAAGGACUCCCCAGUCACAGGCACGGCGCUGGGGAUGGAUGACGGCAGAGAUGCAUACUCGGGGUCGGAAUCUGAGUCGCUGUGCUGAGGGGAAAGGGCCAGCUGUUCCUGCCUCCUGCCCUCUGCCGGCCCAACCGACCCCUUCCCCCACCUGCCCUGCCACCCACCCCAGGCCCACGGGUGAACGGCCACACGCCCCAAGGAAGGGAUCUGGGGCUUUGGCCUCAAAGGGCCUCCUCAGGUCUCAAGGGCUCAGCCAGCCAGCCACAGUGACCCUGGACAUCUUUUCUGGCUCAGGAGCUGCAAGGGGGCCUCCUUGCCAAAGGCCUACCACGCCGGUGGCUUCCUGGGAGUGGAGUGGAGGGCCCCGGAGGCCUAGCCACUAAUAAGCCCCAAGACAGGGCUGCAUGCUUAGCCAUCGUCGUUGUCCAGAGAACAUCUAGAUUGUGAUAAAUGGGAGCGUGACAGCAAAGUCCGUUGCUGACCUAAUGAAGGCACCUGGUCUCCCCGUGGCAGCAGCUGGGCUCCAGGGGGGCCGAUGGCCGUGGUCCCCUUGUCCGUGCAAGGGUGUGCUCUCAACCCCCAUCACAGGACCCUGACGAGCAAGCCCCAUGGUCUCAGGCUGUGGCAGGAAAACAUUCAGUUGGGCCUUGGCCCUCUGCGUGUGGCUCUCAGUCCUCACCGAAUGGACUCCAAGCCUUGAGGGCCUGAUCUUGGCCCAGGGGCCAGACGCUGAGGCUGAGCUGGUCUGGUUCCGGGGACCAGCUGACCCACAGACCCUCCUGGAGGCCAGUGAGGGCGCCUCUGUACACCUUGUUGUUCCUGUUCUGGAGCCACGUGGGCCCCUCAAGACACCCACCCAGGCUCUGACAUCUGGCCGACCAGUGAGGGCCUGGAGUCUCAGGCCCCAGGGGUGCAGGCAGCCUCUGCAUGCCUGCUCUCUGAGCCCUCCCAGCUUCGCCUGGGGUCCUGGUGGGGCUCUGGCCUCCACCCUCACUCUCUUGGCCUCUGGGUGCUGCUCUGGGCCCUGCGGAAAUGCCCUCUGCACAGUGGUCUGGGUGACCUGUUCAGACCUGGGAAUCCUGCUGCCCUGAGAAUCCUGCUGCCCUGAGAACAAAGCCCACAGACUUAACUCUCGUCAGAGAAUAUAAGACCCCCUCCUUGCCCAGCCUCCUCCUCUGCCCUGUCCACCCCUGUCCCCAUGGGGCAGGAGUGGGGGUCUGUUUGCCCCCGGAUGGCUUUUGGAUACCAUUUCAAAGAGGCUCUUUCAGCCUCUCAUGCUGCGUCCUCUUCCUUCUCUUCCUUUCUCGUAGGCUUCCCUGACGCUCUCCUGGGUCCUGCUCACCUGCCUCCUCCCACCGGAACUGAGUUCCUUUGUUAUUACACUCAGCCCCAAGUGCCACACAGGAGCUCUGGGAACUGAUGGCAGAGACAGCUCAGGGAGUGAGGAGGCCGAGCCCCAGUUGGAGACAGACGCCAGCAAGGACAGUGGCAGCAGGCCCAAAGCACCCCGCUCACGGGGAAGAGCGAUCCCCCACAAGCCAAGGCAGGCCCACUGCUGCCAGAGGAGACAAUCCCUUCCCAUUGAGUCAGGAGCCAGGGGCACAGACCUGAGCACUGCUGGCCCCGGGGGUCAUACUGCUUGGCACCCAGCACACAACCCCCUGUGCAGAGGGCAGACCCGGCCCCACCACAAGCUGUAAGGAGAGCUUAGAGCAGCGGAGACAAGGACAUGUGUGUUCGGCCUUCAAAGGUGCUGGGGUGACACGCUCUCUCCAUCCACACGUGCACACAAGUACCCCGGGCCAAUUAGGUGACCGGAUGAGCCACAGGUGUGUAUCAGACACUGCACCCCCAGCCCCUGGACGCCUCCCACAUCCCACAGCGAUGAGCCAGAGAGGCAGAGACAGACAGGAGAAAAGACUGCUCCAGGCCACGUGGUCAGUGGAAGCUGGAGGCGGGAUAGGAAUGCAGGCUGAGGCCUCUCGCUGGCCCAGGCAGGGAGCUAAGGGAGGCCCCAGGAAGGGGACCCAGGAUGUCGCCUCCAAUUCUGCCCCAAGCCCUGGUGCUUCCACGGGACUCAGCUGCCCUCACUGAGGGCUGGGGAGGAUAGGCACCUGUCCCCACCCAGACACCUGGCUGAGCCAGGGCACCCAGGCAGGGUGGCUGUGACAGAGCAGAACCAAGUCACCCGAAGAUCACCCUGAAAACAACAGGGGUGACUCACGGCAAAGCCAAAGCCCAGCUCUGGUCUGAGAGGUUCAGGAAACUGACUUGUGAAGCCCUCCCCACAUGCCCCCCACGGCAGGCACAGAGGCCACAGAGCCCCACCACCCCACCCCUGUGGCGGGAGUCAGCGUGGUGAGGCUCUGGUUGCAAACACCUCAGGUCCAUCAGGAACCUCCACUGCAGACAGACAGCUGAGCCGCCCUCCUCACGGCCUCUGUAUUCCUGGGCCUUGCAGAGCUCAGGGUCCUGAGCACAGGAAGGCUCAGGAAUGUCGGUCUUUAAAGAUCAAAAUUCUUUUUUUAGAUGCAUAUACACAAACGUUGAGUACAGACUUCAACAGGCAGAGAAAACGUCCAGAAGGUUGCACACAGAGAGGCAUCUUUCUCUUUCAGUCUCAGUUCAGGCAAUAUUUAGUCCAGCCAUGCCCACCAUGCUCACCCACUGGAACCUACCUGCCCAUCAGAGUCGUAGCCCCAGUUGGUGGACCCUGCCAGAGCCACGGCCCGGGCAUCCGCAUCUCGGCGAGCUGCACUCAGGACAAAAUGCCACGCUCUGCUGCUCCGUGGGCGCCUGGCCAUGGUGGGCAGGAUCUGGAAGAAAGCACAAGGUCUGAGCAAAGAAAGACAUAUGACACACCAGUAGGUCCCCCAGCACCCCCUGCACUUGGCCCCCAGACUGUGCCAGCCCACCCAGGGUCCGGAACUCUCUUCACAAGCUCAUACCUCACUCCAGUGUCCGAGUACCUUGAUGAAACCCAGGUGGAGAGCAUGGAAUGCCAUCCUGACAUCCAUGACUCUCAAAUGCCUAGCUCAGCCCCUCUCCGAGCUCGGCCUCAGGAUUGCAAGUGUCCCUCCUGCACAUCCCUCAAGCAUCUCAAACCUUGCCUGCCCCUCCUCCAUUCUCCAUUUUGACAAACGGCAUAUCUAGCCUCCGAGUUCCUCAUGCCAAACACACAGCAGUCAUCCCCAACACUUCUUUCCUCCCUCCCACCACGGCCUCACAGCCCUCCGCGCCCCACACCGUCUCCAAAACAUGUCCUGAAUCCCUCUCCACCCCUGCUGCCACCUUGCCUGCCCCACCCGCACACAACUCGUCUUCGCUCUGGCUCCUCCCACUUCACUCACUACAACCGAACUUUUUUUGAAAUACAAAUCUUAAAAUUUUAAAUUAACGAGUUAACUCCUCAGGGCUUGCCACUGUUCUUAGAAUAAAGUACAAUAUUCUACAAAGCCUACAAGUUCCGGCCCUGUUCCGGCUGGUAGCUCUUUCCAGCCCUUUGCCCACAACGCUUUCCCCUCCCCUCUUUGGCUCUCAACUUCCAUGCCCGACUUACAGUAAUAAGUCGCCCUCUGUGAUCGUCUACUUCCCGGCUCUGCCCUGGUUUGAAAUCCCCAGAAGGGCCCUGCCACGACCCCGAGGGGCGGCAGUGAAUUAGCGCAGACAGAGCUUUUGAGAGAUAGGAUCCCGUCCGCAGACCAGGGUUGGUUACUGAAACUGGCCAGAGUGGGCCCGGCCUAAUCCUCGCCCGCCACCGCCGCAGCAACAGUAAGCGCCAGGCCGUGCACGCGCA